AGAGGACGAAGGAGGCGAGCUAACCGGCUGGUCCCUAGAGGUUGCCGUGCCCCCUCCUGUGGAUCUGCCGAGAGGUGGCUAGGGGAGUCGACCCGGAGGGCUGCAUCACAGGAGCGGCGCACCACCUGAGGGCCAGGCCUAGCCGCCGGGGAGAGGAAGCUGCGGUGUCGAAAGCUCCCGGGACUCGGGGGCGCGAGGGCUGGCGGUGAGCACUCACGACAGCAGCACGGCGCACGGAGGGCGCAAGUGUGCAGGCCAUGGUGGCCGUCGCCAGUCAUGCACCAGCGUCACCGAGGUAUCUUCGUCCAGAGUUGGCCAUUGCCCAUUGAUGUCGUCGUUGCUCAGGACGAGUUGAAGGGGAGGACGAAGCAAA
Molecule: long non-coding RNA, 373 nt
Filed under: Sorghum bicolor (sorghum)
Lineage: Eukaryota; Viridiplantae; Streptophyta; Magnoliopsida; Poales; Poaceae
Description: long non-coding RNA (SBIC_LNC016529)
Source: RNAcentral